RNAcentral lists this ribosomal RNA (253 nucleotides) under uncultured bacterium. Its description in RNAcentral is "partial 16S ribosomal RNA". It matches the Rfam family "Bacterial small subunit ribosomal RNA", at positions 524 to 776 of the family's 1533-position model. The record is from RNAcentral.
UACGUAGGGUGCGAGCGUUAAUCGGAAUUACUGGGCGUAAAGCGUGCGUAGGUGGUUUGUUAAGUCUGCUGUGAAAGCCCUGGGCUCAACCUGGGAAUGGCGGUGGAUACUGACAAGCUAGAGUGCGGUAGAGGAGGGUGGAAUUCCCGGUGUAGCGGUGAAAUGCGUAGAGAUCGGGAGGAACAUCAGUGGCGAAGGCGGCCCUCUGGACCAGCACUGACGCUGAGGCACGAAAGCCAGGGGAGCAAACGGG